RNAcentral lists this ribosomal RNA (207 nucleotides) under uncultured bacterium. RNAcentral's name for it is "partial 16S ribosomal RNA". It matches the Rfam family "Bacterial small subunit ribosomal RNA", at positions 568 to 774 of the family's 1533-position model. The record is from RNAcentral.
CGCGUAGGCGGUUUGUUUAGUUAGGCGUGAAAUUCCUGGGCUUAACCUGGGGACUGCGCUUAAUACAGGCAGACUUGAGUUCGGAAGAGGGUCGUGGAAUUCCCAGUGUAGAGGUGAAAUUCGUAGAUAUUGGGAAGAACACCGGUGGCGAAGGCGGCGACCUGGUCCGAUACUGACGCUGAGGUGCGAAAGCGUGGGGAGCAAACA